This is a long non-coding RNA of Sciurus carolinensis (gray squirrel), 1427 nucleotides long. RefSeq lists it as uncharacterized. The record is from RefSeq and is a predicted model, not a curated record. Lineage: Eukaryota; Metazoa; Chordata; Mammalia; Rodentia; Sciuridae. The transcript has 3 exons.
GGAUUUUUUAUGCCAUAUUCCUAGAAGCAUUUUUACAUCUAAUCUAUUAUCAAUUGGUCAGUGUUAUGAAUCAAGGGAGCAAUGAAGAUAAAAUUAAUACAAACCAAAGCAUGACUAUCCCUAUGAAAUACAGAUGAGUAUCUUCAAGACACUGCACUCCUGACUCAGGAAUCAAAGGACUGUGCCACCACUUCCAACCUCCUGGAGCUUUCCUCAUGGAAGAAGUAUCCCUAAAGAUGCAGCAGCAGGACCAAGCCUCCGGCUGUGACCCAGAAACCAAGUGCAUGAAUAACCCUAAGGAAUAUAGAUGAGAAUCUUCAAGACACUGCACUCCUGAUUCAGGGAUCAAAGGACUGUGCCACCACUUCCAACCUCCUAGAGCUUUCUUCAUGGAAGAAGUAUCCCAAAAGAUGCAGCAGCAGUUUAUCCUGAAACCAAGCCUCUUGUCUGUGUCCCAGAAACAAAGUGGUGACUUUGCUUUUCUUUCAUUCACCAAAAAUGCUCAUUUCAUGAGCAUAAAUUUUGUACAAAGGCAAAGAUCCAAACUUCCAGCCAAAUGAAACAUUUUUCUUUCAAAAUUUCCAGGGCUUUUAAAAAAAGAAUAGCAUUUUAGUGAAAUUUUUACAAAUCAGCAAUAGGCAUGGCUUUCCUAUAACCAGCAGCAAUUAGCAAUACAGUAGCAACACUGUUUCUCCUUGCUUCAGCUUUUUCCCCCACUUUUAUGUCUUGCUUAGAGCAGGUCAAAGGCAAAGACAAGGCUGUAGAUGCUUCAGGGCUUUCCUGGUUCUCUAAUACUGUUGGUAGAAAUCCUAAGUCUUGACUAGCAGCUGUGAAUGUCUCAAGUGUGUAAGGAAAACCUUCACACAUUCAUGCCAGUCAGGAAUACCUAUGGAGAGGAGCAUUCUGCUCUGAUUACUUAGAAAAGUAAACAACUGUUUCCAAAUUUACCUAGUAUUACCAAGGGAACCUGUAUUGGGGCCUGGUGGUCUGAUCCACCGUGGCACAUUGUGAUUGGGUUAAAAGUCUGUAAAAUGUAUGGUUUCUUCUGCUAUAAGCAAGUUUGCAGUUGCUCGCCACAAGUCUGCAUUUACCCAACUCUCAGGGCCCGGUUUAUGGCUCUGUAGGCUCUUACCUGUGACUGAGCUAGCCUGGCACACACCCCUACAAAUACACUCCACUGUUCCCUCACAUGGUCCCAUUGGACAAAGGAGGUUGUCAGUGAUAAGUGUCAGAAGACUGUGAUGGCCCACCUGGACACUGAUGCUGAUUAGCAUGUGAGGACUAACAUGAUUUCUACAAAGAUUUUCCUUAGCCCCUAAUAUGAUAUAAAUUGUGUAAAAUCAUUCUCUCUUACUCACCCUGUAAUGUCAUUUCUAGUGUAUUAACACUGACGUUCAAUGCAAGGCCUCUGUAAUUUACCAUCUCCC